RNAcentral lists this microRNA precursor (55 nucleotides) under Heliconius melpomene (postman butterfly). RNAcentral's name for it is "Hme-Mir-2767_pre stem-loop". The record is from RNAcentral. Lineage: Eukaryota; Metazoa; Arthropoda; Insecta; Lepidoptera; Nymphalidae.
AAAGUAAAUCUCGUGCGGCUUGUUUUUAUUCCAAGCUGUAAGAGAUUCACUUAGA